GGCAAGAUGGCCGAGCGGUUAAGGCGCCAGAUUUAAGUAUACUUAAAUGCUUCUCCCUGGUCUCGAGAGAGUCGUGGGUUCAAAUCCCACUCUUGUCA
Molecule: non-coding RNA, 98 nt
Organism: Patellaria atrata CBS 101060
Lineage: Eukaryota; Fungi; Ascomycota; Dothideomycetes; Patellariales; Patellariaceae
Source: the annotation of a GenBank genome assembly